GGUCAACCUCGAAUCACCAUGCAAAAGCCUCCUGCUCAACUUGAAGGAUGGAGAGCGAGGGCUAUACGUUCAUGCUGUCAACGACUCCAAUCAGCAAUGGGUUUUUGCAAGCGACGACGGCUGGACAGCAUGUAGCGAUAAGGUUGUAUUCGCAUUGAAUCCGGGGGUGCAAAUGGCCGAAUAUCUUAUUAGGCCACUAGGGCAAAAGAACUCGAUCACCACCAGCGCCGUGGUGGUCUGGUGGUGUAAUGGGGAUCCAGUGCGGGGAAAUUUUUUACCAGGCAUUGCCCUGCAUAUAUCCACCUCACCACCACUCACUAGA
This 322-nucleotide small RNA is filed under the name Histoplasma capsulatum. RNAcentral describes it as "hypothetical RNA". RNAcentral also lists the same sequence under 1 other name. Lineage: Eukaryota; Fungi; Ascomycota; Eurotiomycetes; Onygenales; Ajellomycetaceae. The record is from RNAcentral.